UAUAAGUGUUUUAUGGCACUUUUUAAAUCCAUAUCCACCUUGUGUGCAAUGUCGGUCGAUCUUCUUUUUUUGAGGAUCGACCAAACAUCAACCUUUAUUUUUUCAACUCUUUGUCUGAAAAAUAUUAUGAAAUAAACAAUUCAAAAUA
RNAcentral lists this unclassified non-coding RNA (148 nucleotides) under soil metagenome. Its description in RNAcentral is "partial internal transcribed spacer 1". The record is from RNAcentral.